Dreissena polymorpha is the source of this 3710-nucleotide long non-coding RNA. RefSeq lists it as uncharacterized. The transcript has 3 exons. Lineage: Eukaryota; Metazoa; Mollusca; Bivalvia; Myida; Dreissenidae. The record is from RefSeq and is a predicted model, not a curated record.
UUUCAAUUGUCAUAGAUGGUCGUAUUUCUAUUUGUUGGAGGAAAAUUAUAGAUUUUCUCAGAAUAAUCCUAUACGUUAACAUCGAUUAAUACGGUCAACUGCAAUAAAAUCAUUAACAUUGCUUCUGUGUUGGUCGAAAUAAAACCUCGCAGAGAACGAAAUCCGAAAUUAACAUCAGGCGUCUGGACGUAUCGAACGACUGAAUGAUUGAUGUGGUGUGCCCGAGGAAAAGCGCGUAGCACGUUGCGCCACUGAGCAUGCUGAGGAUUGUCAACCACGUGUCCGUCAUGUUCUGUGGCGGGAAACGUCCGUAUCCGAUGCACAACAUGUGAGAUAAAGCUUUGAACAGCGAAAACGUAUACUGCUGUGACCAGUGGGCGUGCUGCAAGAAAUACGAGCAUCUUAACUUUUGUUAUGGAGGCAAAUACUGAUGAUCAUAUUCAACAGUACAUUUUGCCUGAAAAGUACGGAUCCAUAAAGGCCAUAUGUGUAAAUCAUUUUAAUAUACAUCGUUUUUUUACAAUAAUAAAAUGAGUCUGCUUCCACAUUAAUUUGAUAUUUUCAGAUCAUGUUAUGUCGUACCAAUUUAUUGUAAGCCACGUAUCAUUUUUAUAAGACACUCAUUCUGAGGUACUACGUUGCAUAUUUAACACGAAUCCAAAACUCUGACCUUGGUAGUAAAUGCAUGAACAUUAUCAAUAUUAUGUAAAUCACUGCAUUUCAGAUUGCCCUGACUGGCGAUCCAUAUUUUAAAAUAGUCUGGAGAAAUUCUUGCCAAAACAUAUUCCUGAAUGCAAAUGUCUUGUUAUUAGUGACAAAACCAGCUUUAUAAGCUAUAUAUUGCUCAAACACUGAAUAGCUAAGAAAAAAAAACAUUUUUCAAUCUUUGUGAUACAAGUCCCAAACAGUGUGACAUUCACAAGCACAUAACUAUUUAUUCAAGAGAAGAUCAAUAUGGAUAAUUGUGUCGCUCACAUGUACUUUGAAAGAAAACACUGUUAGAAUCUGUUCGUAGUCGUUAUAAUACCGCAAUCAUUAUAAUUAUAAAUAAAAAAGCAGUGCUAAUUAUGCAGCAGCAAUAGUAAUAUAAGCCGUCGUUUUAGCUCUUCCAGCAGUAGCCGUCGUUGUUUUAGGUGUAAAUGAUUACUAAAUUAAAUUUACGUAGAAGUUAACGUAGUUAGAUAGAAGUAGUUCCAUAAGAGAUUUUGUUCAUAAUUAUGUUUAUUAAAAAAAAUAUCAUGUUUAUUUAAACCGAACCUUUAGUUCCUCUAUGGAAACCCAGCAAUCACUCGGGAACUCUUGUAAAGUUGGCACCAGGAACUGUAAACAUCCGUUCCAGUGACCCAGAAGGAACAUAAGGCAUAUCAGGUUAAAUAUUCGCAUAAACUUCCCUGCAACCGCCAAAAACUGGAAACAUAAAGCAUAAGCAUUUCUAAAGGAUAAUACGUAUAAUGGGCAGGUAUGCUGUAAACACAGUCAUAGUAUGUAGUCAAAAUAGGUUUGUAUUUUAUUUUUGUACAAAAUAAGAGCUAUUGCAUUAAUUAAUUGUAUUGUUGUAUUGUAUUAUUUUUUGUUCACAAUAAGUGUACUCCUUGUUUGUAACUUUUCAAUAAUAUUGUUGAGAAGGUAUGCUUCUAUUACAUUAUAUAUCUAUCAAUGACACCGUUUUUUCUCUAAUUAAAAAUACAUUUACCCGAAUAGUUUAAAAUAUUUUUCAAACUCAUAAUUCACUAUUUUCCUAGUUUUGUUGCAGAUAUUAUCUUGAAUUUCUAAAAGCAAACGCAAUACUCAAAGCCAAACCUGAUGCAGUGUUACAUAAAGUGUCACAAGCUGUAUCCAUGUAUUAAUGUAGUUUUAUAUAUGAAUUAUACGACUUGCAAUGAUAUACAAGUAUGGUGCAAGGCAAUACGGACAACUCUUGUUUUAAUGUUAUAAAUUUCUGUUUUUGUACCUGAAUAUACGUCGUUCUAGGAUUCAUAUGAACUUUGUCUGCUCCUUUCAACUAAACAAUACUAUACACAUCAUGCAUGAUACACAUAUGAUGCAUCUAGCUGACACCAACACUAAUCACUCAGGCAUCUAAAAUAAGCAAACUAAAAUAUUGCAAACACAAUAUAUUCAAACAAAGUAUAACUUAAACUAAACAAAAAUUUCUCUUUUAUUGAUAUUUCGAUGCUGCUUUUGCAUUUGAGAUUAUUAAAUGAAACAUUAGUCUACGUUUAUAUAAACGUCUAAACAAGACACGAACACGUUUUGUGUUGUUUUAUAUUAGAAAUAAUAAUUUUAUAUGUAUUAAAAGGCAAAACAAAGCCAAAUCAUAGACUAAUGACUGUGCUUAUAAGAAAUUAAUCUAUUCAGUCAUAGUGGCAUAUGAAUUGUUUAGUGCAUGUUAACCGGAAACACACGGUAACAUACCUCCUUUAACCGCUGAAACAAAUAAAUGUGUGACAUGAGUAUUAAUAUUGCAUACACAAUAACAUGUAUACGAUAAGUCAAAACCAAAUGAGAAGUAAACUCAGACAAUCUGGCGAUGUUGCCGAGUGUAAUUUACUUAAUUGUCAAGGACUAAAAUUAUACAAAUGUAUAAUUCAUCCGGUCCCGAAAUAAAUAGGUUUUAUCAAAUAAUGGUUAGAAAAAACUUCACAACGGAUUACGUGGGAAGUAACUCUUGACAACAUAAUGCCUGUGUCCUGGCGAUAGAAACACGUUUAUUUGCUAUGUUUUCUUUAAUCCUGAAAUUUCCACGACGAGGAUGGGCUAGACACGUCAGCUUCAAUGAAAAGUUUGACAAUUUUGUUGUAUGGCAAAUUACUUUACUGAUAUUGUAUUUAUUUAAAUAUAUUCAAUGGUUCACAUUGAUUGUGAUCGUUUUUAUUUAGUGGAUAUCAGCCAUAUUUUGGAGAACAAUUGCAAACUUGUGUAUAUAUAUCGUAAUAUUUGGUUUUAACACAUGACAUUGAACACUGCAUUAUUAUGUUUUACAAUCGCUGUACCACGACGCACAUACAAUUUCUAAACAUUUUAGUUUUGAACUUCAAGUUUGGAAGAAAUGUUCAGCGACAAUAUGUGAAACACUUAGAAGUAAUUCAACUAUCAACAAAAUUCGAAUAAUUUUCAAUUCAACUCAAUGUCAACUGUCGGUGAAUAAAGUUGCUGCUUUUGUAAAUACGGAUAUCAACAGACUAAUUAAAAAAAACGCUGAUCGAGAAUCAUAUAAUUUUUAAUAUAACUAAACUUCAAUUGGAGUUAUUAUUACGAAGUCAAUCACUUAGAUUUUACAAAUAGAUUUAAUAACUUAAACAAUAUAUAGUCAUAUGAGUCUCGAUGAUACUCCACAAUUUCAACAGGUAGAGAAGGGAUUAUCGUUACAUUAACAAGAGAUUCCAGAUCUCAACAUAUAAAAAUAUCCAACUUCAAAACGGGUAUGUGAAUAAAAACAUAUGAAAAAGGUGUGCUGGAAGUCGUUGAAAGGAGCAGAGUGUUGAUUGGAGUUUAACAAUGUUCACAGUUUAAAGGCGUCUGUUAAGCAUAAUUGUCUGGUAUUCAUUUGUAUAGAGAAUAAUAUACAAAUCAAUGUAUACUAUUUCACAUUUUUAUAUUAUUUCUAUAUACUUUUGUAUUUUGAUUGCUUAACAAGCAUGGCGAAUGAUAAACAACUCACAUGCGAAAUUUCGUCUAACAUUAUUCAAAGUAAAACAUUAAAUACUGAU